RNAcentral lists this ribosomal RNA (115 nucleotides) under Pontivivens ytuae. The record is from RNAcentral. Lineage: Bacteria; Pseudomonadati; Pseudomonadota; Alphaproteobacteria; Rhodobacterales; Paracoccaceae.
UUUGGUGGACAUAGCGUGAGCGAUACACCCGAUCCCAUCCCGAACUCGGCCGUUAAGCGCCACAGCGCCGAUGGUACUGCGACUCAAGUCGUGGGAGAGUAGGUCACCGCCAAAC